GUGCCAGCAGCGGCGGUAAUACGUAGGUGGCAAGCGUUGUCCGGAAUUAUUGGGCGUAAAGCGCGCGCAGGUGGUUUCUUAAGUCUGAUGUGAAAGCCCACGGCUCAACCGUGGAGGGUCAUUGGAAACUGGGGAACUUGAGUGCAGAAGAGGAAAGUGGAAUUCCAAGUGUAGCGGUGAAAUGCGUAGAGAUUUGGAGGAACACCAGUGGCGAAGGCGACUUUCUGGUCUGUAACUGACACUGAGGCGCGAAAGCGUGGGAGCGAACAGGAUUAGAUACCC
RNAcentral lists this ribosomal RNA (282 nucleotides) under uncultured bacterium. Its description in RNAcentral is "partial 16S ribosomal RNA". It matches the Rfam family "Bacterial small subunit ribosomal RNA", at positions 505 to 787 of the family's 1533-position model. The record is from RNAcentral.